GUGGGGAAUUUUGGACAAUGGGGGCAACCCUGAUCCAGCCAUGCCGCGUGCGGGAAGAAGGCCUUCGGGUUGUAAACCGCUUUUGUCAGGGAAGAAAUCCUUUGGGUUAAUACCUCGGAGGGAUGACGGUACCUGAAGAAUAAACACCGGCUAACUACGUGCCAGCAGCCGCGGUAAUACGUAGGGUGCGAGCGUUAAUCGGAAUUACUGGGCGUAAAGCGUGCGCAGGCGGUUUUGUAAGACAGGUGUGAAAUCCCCGGGCUUAACCUGGGAACUGCACUUGUGACUGCAAGGCUGGAGUACGGCAGAGGGGGAUGGAAUUCCGCGUGUAGCAGUGAAAUGCGUAGAUAUGCGGAGGAACACCGAUGGCGAAGGCAAUCCCCUGGGCCUGUACUGACGCUCAUGCACGAAAGCGUGGGGAGCAAACAGGAUUAGAAACCCGGGUAGUCC
This 450-nucleotide ribosomal RNA is filed under the name uncultured bacterium. RNAcentral's name for it is "partial 16S ribosomal RNA". It matches the Rfam family "Bacterial small subunit ribosomal RNA", at positions 354 to 796 of the family's 1533-position model. The record is from RNAcentral.